AGGAGAUACGAGAACGUAGCAGCCUGUAGAGGAAGUGGUGGAGCAGCCCUGCCUGCUGUGGAGAGCAGGGCACACGUGGCUGCCUGUCUGUCAGAAAUGGGGGAUCUUUCCAGACCUCUGCUGAAAGCUUAGAGGAGCCUCUCCACCUUAGAAUUCCACACAUCCCUAGCUCUGGGACAGGCUCCCUGACAAAAGGGGGCAGGAGCCAAAUUCGCCGAGGAACAGCCACAUUCUCAAUUCCCCUCCUGAACUUUCAGGAAGUACCCUUGAGCCUUAGACCUUGAGAAGUCUCACAGAAACAAGUGGAACGGUGCAAACCAUUGUUUUAUAAACCCAGUUCACAGAAGAAUCCUAUGUGUGCUCUAGAACUCACUGUGGGCAACACCUGUUUCUGCCUGGGGAUGUCACGGGACCAUUUCUGCAUCCCCAUCUGGGCAGGGGCUGAGAGCACGAAGUAUCUGGGAGCAGGAGCCUCCGGGUUCUAGCCCAGUCAGUCCCCAGUCAGUCUGAGACCCCAGGUUCCUCCUCUGUGGAGAGGAGUGCCCCAUCCCUUGGUGUUUUGUGCUUUCUUCUCCAGCAUACUUCUCUGCCUCUCCCCCAUCGCUGGUUAUCUGGCCAACAGGCUUAUUUAUGAGUAGUUCCUUACAGCCCGGUGAUCCCUCCUGAGGCAGGAACAGCUCGGGGGAGUGAACCAGGGCUGCAGGUGAGAAGGCCUGAGGGAAUUCCGAAUACGAGGAGGAAUCUGAGGCAGGCCUGGCAAGAUGGCCUUCUGUACAGGAUCCUUCAAACUGACUCCAGUGCAAAAGCUACCCUGAGAGGGAACCUGGGCCAGCCUGGGACAGGCAGCAGAGCUGGGCUACAUGGAACCAGGGAGUCCUCAGGUCGUUUUCCUCUUCAUCCGUCUCUUUCCCCCUGAGACCACCUUGCCUUUCCUACUUCCCUCUACACGUCUGUUCCCCUCUCUUCCCUAAAGGCUGGUUUCCUCUGCCCACCUAUGACCACACACGGCCACCAGCACCAAGUCCAGAAAACUUCUGAUUUCCAGCACCUACCACCUUCAGACUGCCCCAGCCAUCAGUAGCUCAGAUUCUCAAGGAGAUAAUCUGAUGGGCUUGGCCUAAUUCAGAAGGAAGAGGACCCAGGACCACAGCCGGUAGACCCUCCAUCUCUUUAUCUGAUAGAAAAUCUGUGCCCAGCUGAGGCACUCUUCCUGGGCAGAACUACUGCUUCUCCUGCCCUGCCAGGGAUCCUCCCUGCAGUCAGAAGUUUGUCCUAAAAGAGGCUGCCCCUCUAAGCUCUUGGCUUCCAUUUACCUACAGUCAGUUCUCGUUCCUUGUGGGAGUUACGUUCUAUGAAGUCUCCAUAAAUACUGAACUACCAAUGCUGAACCACUGCUCCCAGGGGAAAUAUCAGAGGGACGUGAAAGAAAACAAUCAAUUCUUCUCCUUCACAUCGUCUUUUUAAAACAAAGUCAGAGCUCUGCAUUCGAUGAACUUUCUGGGAAAUGUGACAUAGAUUAAAAAUAUUACCAACAUGUUUCCCCACCGUACAAAGUUCUUUUUCGGAGAUUAGCAACUUGCUCAAUUUAUUACGACAGCCAAACGAGAUGUCUCUUCUCCCCUACUGGGUAGUGCAACUCAUCAACACUUUCUGUUUUGAAACCCCUGCGCCUUCCAAAAAUAGCAUCUCUUGCACCUUAAUAUUGUGAU
Camelus dromedarius (Arabian camel) is the source of this 1709-nucleotide long non-coding RNA. RefSeq lists it as uncharacterized. NCBI's taxonomy places the organism in Eukaryota, Metazoa, Chordata, Mammalia, Artiodactyla, Camelidae. The record is from RefSeq and is a predicted model, not a curated record. The transcript is spliced from 4 exons.